This 253-nucleotide ribosomal RNA is filed under the name uncultured bacterium. RNAcentral's name for it is "partial 16S ribosomal RNA". It matches the Rfam family "Bacterial small subunit ribosomal RNA", at positions 524 to 776 of the family's 1533-position model. The record is from RNAcentral.
GACGUAGGGGGCCAGCGUUGUUCGGAAUUACUGGGUGUAAAGGGUUCGUAGGCGGUGCGGCAAGUUGGGAGUGAAAUCUCUGGGCUUAACCCAGAGGCUGCUUCCAAAACUGCUGUGCUUGAGUGUGGGAGAGGCGCGUGGAAUUGCAGGUGUAGCGGUGAAAUGCGUAGAUAUCUGGAGGAACACCGGUGGCGAAGGCGGCAUCCUGGACCGGUAUUGACACUGAGGCGCGAAAGCCAGGGGAGCAAACGGG